Molecule: ribosomal RNA, 200 nt
Filed under: uncultured bacterium
Lineage: Bacteria
Description: partial 16S ribosomal RNA
Rfam family: Bacterial small subunit ribosomal RNA
Source: RNAcentral
AGAGUUUGAUCCUGGCUCAGAACGAACGCUGGCGGCAUGCCUAACACAUGCAAGUCGAACGCUCCCGGGGAUUUCGGUCCUUGGGGGAGUGGCGCACGGGUGAGUAGCGCGUGGGAACCUGCCCUGUUGUGGGGGAUAACCGAGGGAAACUUCGGCUAAUACCGCAUACGCCCCUGGGGCGACCUGGGGGGAAAGAUUUU